CCCGCACAAGCGGUGAUGAUGUGGAUUAAUUCGAUGCAACGCGAAAAACCUUACCUACCCUUGACAUGUCCGGAAUCCCGAAGAGAUUUGGGAGUGCUCGCAAGAGAGCCGGAACACAGGUGCUGCAUGGCUGUCGUCAGCUCGUGUCGUGAGAUGUUGGGUUAAGUCCCGCAACGAGCGCAACCCUUGUCAUUAGUUGCCAUCAUUUGGUUGGGCACUCUAAUGAGACUGCCGGUGACAAACCGGAGGAAGGUGGGGAUGACGUCAAGUCCUCAUGGCCCUUAUGGGUAGGGCUUCACACGUCAUACAAUGGUCGGUACAGAGGGUUGCCAACCCGCGAGGGGGAGCUAAUCCCACAAAGCCGAUCGUAGUCCGGAUCGCAGUCUGCAACUCGACUGCGUGAAGUCGGAAUCGCUAGUAAUCGUGGAUCAGCAUGUCACGGUGAAUACGUUCCCGGGUCUU
This 462-nucleotide ribosomal RNA is filed under the name uncultured Rhodocyclaceae bacterium. RNAcentral describes it as "bacterial SSU rRNA". It matches the Rfam family "Bacterial small subunit ribosomal RNA", at positions 920 to 1382 of the family's 1533-position model. Lineage: Bacteria; Pseudomonadati; Pseudomonadota; Betaproteobacteria; Rhodocyclales; Rhodocyclaceae. The record is from RNAcentral.